This 346-nucleotide ribosomal RNA is filed under the name uncultured bacterium. RNAcentral describes it as "partial 16S ribosomal RNA". It matches the Rfam family "Bacterial small subunit ribosomal RNA", at positions 338 to 701 of the family's 1533-position model. The record is from RNAcentral.
CCUACGGGUGGCAGCAGUGGGGAAUAGUGCACAAUGGGGGAAACCCUGAUGCAGCGACGCCGCGUGAGUGAAGAAGGAUUUCGGUAUGUAAAGCUCUGUCAGCAGGGAAGAAAAUGACGGUACCUGACCAAGAAGGCCCGGCUAACUACGUGCCAGCAGCCGCGGUAAUACGUAGGGGGAAAGCGUUCUCCGGAUUUACUGGGUGUAACGGGAGCGUCGACGGCAGGGCAAGUCUGGAGUGAACGGCGGGGGCUCAACCCCCGGACUGCUCUGGAAACUGCCAGGCUGGAGUGCAGGAGAGGUAAGUGGAAUUCCUCGUGUAGCGGUGAAAUGCGUAGAUAUUAGG